This 35-nucleotide non-coding RNA is filed under the name Geobacter sulfurreducens PCA. Lineage: Bacteria; Pseudomonadati; Thermodesulfobacteriota; Desulfuromonadia; Geobacterales; Geobacteraceae. The record is from RNAcentral.
UUGCUCAACGAAGAAAUAUUCCGCCUCUGCCCGUU